Molecule: unclassified non-coding RNA, 824 nt
Filed under: Hevea brasiliensis (rubber tree)
Lineage: Eukaryota; Viridiplantae; Streptophyta; Magnoliopsida; Malpighiales; Euphorbiaceae
Source: RNAcentral
UGGCAAAGCCCAGGUGAUGCCAAUGAAGAAUUUGUCAGAUGGGCAGAGGAGCAGAGUGAUUUUUGCUUGGUUAGCUUAUAGGCAGCCCCACUUGCUGCUGUUGGAUGAGCCAACAAAUCAUUUGGAUAUUGAGACUAUCGACUCUCUGGCCGAGGCAUUAAAUGAAUGGGAUGGUGGUCUGGUUCUCGUUAGCCAUGAUUUCAGGCUUAUAAACCAGGUGGCAGAGGAGAUAUGGGUGUGUGAAAAUCAAGCUGUCACGCGAUGGGAGGGCGAUAUCAUGGACUUCAAGGAGCACCUCAAGAAGAAGGCCGGCUUAUCUGAUUGAGUCAGAUGAUAUGAUGGAUGUGAUGAUUAUUAUCCUAUUAUCAGCGUACCUUUAUCUAUGGUUGAGAAUCACAGCACACGGCUACUUACACUUGUGAAUCACAACACAGGCAGGUGAUUCCUGUGGCUGGAAGAUGCUUACCUAGGGUUGAAUUAUAAUGAAAGCCAAGAGCAGAGAUGGGUGACAGAGGCUUCGUUAUUGUUUUGAGCUGAAAAGCACACUGUACUCUGCUCAUUUACUAGGUGAUUAUUUUUGUUUUCAUUAUUCUUAUUUAGUAUACUUGGUUAUGCACCAAGGAGAUUGAUCAACAAAAUUUGCGGAGGUUUAGUUCAUUACUAAUAUGAACCUCAUUAUAGCUAUUAUGAAUGUCCCUGGAUAUGUUGUAUUUGACAACUUAGUCAUGACCUAAAUCUGAUCUAUUACGUUUGCGACUGAUCUCAUAAGCCCCUCUGCUUUGAUUUUUUUGUGCCCAAUUUGUUGGCUGGACACGUCAUUGAAU